CGACGUGAGGAACUGCCUUGAAGAGGGGGACAACAGUUGGAAACGAACUGCUAAUACCGCAUGAAGCAUAGGGGUCGCAUGAUUCUUAUGCCAAAGAUUUAUCGCUUCAAGAUGGCCUCGCGUCUGAUUAGCUGGUUGGCGGGGUGACGGCCCACCAAGGCGACGAUCAGUAGCCGGACUGAGAGGUUGAACGGCCACAUUGGGACUGAGAUACGGCCCAG
This 221-nucleotide ribosomal RNA is filed under the name uncultured bacterium. RNAcentral's name for it is "partial 16S ribosomal RNA". It matches the Rfam family "Bacterial small subunit ribosomal RNA", at positions 113 to 334 of the family's 1533-position model. The record is from RNAcentral.